UGGAGGUUAACAACAGUUUGAUCAUUCUC
Molecule: non-coding RNA, 29 nt
Filed under: Rattus norvegicus (Norway rat)
Lineage: Eukaryota; Metazoa; Chordata; Mammalia; Rodentia; Muridae
Source: RNAcentral